RNAcentral lists this ribosomal RNA (494 nucleotides) under uncultured bacterium. RNAcentral describes it as "bacterial SSU rRNA". It matches the Rfam family "Bacterial small subunit ribosomal RNA", at positions 28 to 506 of the family's 1533-position model. The record is from RNAcentral.
GAUGAACGCUAGCGGCAGGCUUAAUACAUGCAAGUUGAGGGGCAGCAUGAUAUACGCGAGUAUAUUGAUGGCGACCGGCGGACGGGUGAGUAAUAGGUAGGAGACCUACCUCAUACAGGGGGAUAGCAUAGAGAAAUCUGUGGUAAUACCCCAUGAGGUUAUAUGAAUAGAGGCAUAUAAUCAAAGCAUAAGCGAUUAUGCGGUAUGAGAGGGGCCUACUGACCAUUAGCUAGUUGGUGAGGUAAGGGCUCACCAAGGCGAAGAUGGUUAGGGGUUUUGAGGAGAGAGACCCCCCACAUUGGAACUGAGAGACGGUCCAGACUCCUACGGGAGGCAGCAGUAGGGAAUAUUGGGCAAUGGGCGAAAGCCUGACCCAGCCAUGCCGCGUGAAGGAGACGGCCUUAUGGGUUGUAAACUUCUUUACUACGCGAAUAGAGGUUAGUACGAGAUACUAAUAGGAAGGUAGUGUAGUAAAAAGCACCGGCUAACUCCGU